ACAAAUAGGGAAACCCUGAUCCAGCCAUCCCGCGUGUAUGAUGAAGGCCUUCGGAUUGUAAAGUAAAUCUUAGAGGCAGAGAAGAAAAGGUAUCUCCUAAUACGAGAUGGUGCUGACGAGUAUCUGCAGAAUAAGCACCGGCUAACUACGUGCCAGCAGCCGCGGUAAUACGUAGGGUGUUGCGUUAAAUGGAAUUACUGGGCGUAAAGCGUGUGUAUUGCGGUUCGGAAAGAAAGAUGUGAAAUCCCAGGGCUCAACCUUGGAACUGCAUUAUUUAACUGCCGAGCUAGAGUAUGUCAGAGGGGUAGAUAAUUCCACGUGUAGCAGUGAGGAAUGCGUAGAUAUGUGGAGGUACCGAUGAAGAAGGCAGCCCCCUGGGAUAAUACUGACAAUCAGACACGAUUGCGUGAAGCCCAAACAGAUUAGAUACCCUGGUAGUCCACGCCCUAAACGAUGUCAACUAGCUGUUGGGGCCGUUAGGCCUUAGUAGCGCAGCUAACGCGUGAAGUUGACCGCCUGGGGAGUACGGUCGCAAGAUUAAAACUAACCGGA
Molecule: ribosomal RNA, 552 nt
Filed under: uncultured Alcaligenes sp.
Lineage: Bacteria; Pseudomonadati; Pseudomonadota; Betaproteobacteria; Burkholderiales; Alcaligenaceae
Description: bacterial SSU rRNA
Rfam family: Bacterial small subunit ribosomal RNA
Source: RNAcentral